UACGGAGGUGCGAGCGUUGUCCGGAAUCAUUGGGCGUAAAGGGCGCGUAGGUGGCCCCUCAAGCGUGCGGUGAAAGUCAGGGCUCAACCCCUGAUCGGCCGUGCGAACUGGGGAGCUUGAGCACUGUAGAGGCAGGCGGAAUUCCGGGUGUAGCGGUGGAAUGCGUAGAGAUCCGGAAGAACACCGGUGGCGAAGGCGGCCUGCUGGGCAGUUUGCUGACACUGAGGCGCGACAGCGUGGGGAGCAAACAGG
Molecule: ribosomal RNA, 252 nt
Filed under: uncultured bacterium
Lineage: Bacteria
Description: partial 16S ribosomal RNA
Rfam family: Bacterial small subunit ribosomal RNA
Source: RNAcentral